CUACUGUUAUUUAAAAUUACUGAAAGCCCAUUGUGCACUGGCUGAAAAUAGCAGCCUCUGCAGUUGGGCAUUCAGCCUGUUGCUUGUAUGAGUUCCCCUAAGGGACCUUAGACAGUU
RNAcentral lists this small nucleolar RNA (117 nucleotides) under Peromyscus maniculatus bairdii (prairie deer mouse). RNAcentral's name for it is "Small nucleolar RNA SNORA70 (ENSPEMG00000003420.2)". It matches the Rfam family "Small nucleolar RNA SNORA70", at positions 17 to 135 of the family's 135-position model. From Rfam's summary of the family: snoRNA U70 seems to be exclusive to mammals and is a member of the H/ACA class of snoRNA which contain H (ANANNA) and ACA box motifs. H/ACA box snoRNAs are involved in the conversion of uridines to pseudouridines (5-ribosyluracil) a constituent of structural RNAs (transfer, ribosomal, small nuclear, and small nucleolar). Lineage: Eukaryota; Metazoa; Chordata; Mammalia; Rodentia; Cricetidae. The record is from Rfam by way of RNAcentral.